CAGUCGCCGCGGGAAUACGAAGGGUGCAAGCGUUACUCGGAAUUACUGGGCGUAAAGCGUGCGUAGGUGGUGGUUUAAGUCCGUUGUGAAAGCCCUGGGCUCAACCUGGGAAUUGCAGUGGAUACUGGGUCACUAGAGUGUGGUAGAGGAUGGUGGAAUUCCCGGUGUAGCGGUGUAAUGCGUAGAGAUCGGGAGGAACAUCAGUGGCGAAGGCGGCCAUCUGGGACAACACUGACGCUGAGGCACGAAAGCGUGGGGAGCAAACAGGAUUAGAUACCCCAGUAGUCCCUGUCUCUUAUAC
This 301-nucleotide ribosomal RNA is filed under the name uncultured bacterium. Its description in RNAcentral is "partial 16S ribosomal RNA". It matches the Rfam family "Bacterial small subunit ribosomal RNA", at positions 509 to 807 of the family's 1533-position model. The record is from RNAcentral.